CUAAACUUAAUAGACAAUUAUGACAGAUUAUUUGUCAAAAAUUGACAGUGUAGUGGCGCUGCUUAUUAGUAGACGGAAUAUUUUCGAACUAUAGUGACUUGUUAAUAAGUUUUACACGACCAUAUUGAAUAGAAGAUUUUAUUUAAGGAGAAAAGUUUAAAAAAAUUUAAUUUCAAUAUUUACUCAGAUUGUUGUACCGACGGUUGUAGUAUGAAGACUUGGUCCUUUGCUAUGAUUCAAAGCUGAACAUUCAGAGUUUCCAAUGGAAAAUCAGAGUUAAAAAGCAUGUCGAACAUAAAGAUGAUGUUCAUUGUUUUCUUUAAUUGUGAGGGCUUAGUGUGAUCAGAAAUUGUUCCAAGGUAAACUUCGAAUUUGAUAAGGGAGCAAUGAAUUAUUUGGAAAAAUGCCUUAAGAAAAAUGAGGAAAUGACUUUUCUCUUUCUCUAUGACAAAAAUUGUGCUACAAGUCGGUUUUGAUUUGCAAUUUUUUAAUUAUUUAAAGUCUUAUUACCAGGUUAAGGGAUAUUUUUGAAAAUAGAAAAAUGUCUUGAAAGAGUAACAUUACUUAUUGUGGUUGUUUUUGCAUCAAUGAGAUCAUGAAUAUAUGGAAAUUACAAACGAAUUUACUCGUAAGCAAGAGAAAAAAUUCUAUUUUGUAAAAGUGAUAAAAAUGAUUGUCAAAUACAAUGAGUAGGAACUGUAGAAUGCUUCUGCACCCACCACAUUCUCCAGAUCUUGUCCUCAGCUGCCAGGUUGGGAGCUUCAACUACAAAGGAUCCAACCUUCCCCAACGUUUAGUAGAACUUCCAUCACUUUGUAAACAACUGAUUGUAAUUUUUCUGUUGGAAGUCAAGUUGUCAAAGUUUUCCAUUUGAUUCUUUUUAAUCUGCCAUAAUUCACUAAAGGAAAUGUGUAAUUUUGAAGUUUCAAGUCUUCCCUGAAGUUUAUUAGGACUUUCAUCACAUUGUUAACAGCUGAUUGUAAUUAUUCUGUGAAAAUCAAGUUCCGAAAGUUAUUCACAUAAUUUUUUUUCGAAUUUGUCAAUGUAAUAAACCUAUUGGCCACAAUUUACAAAAUAAAAUGUAUAAUUUUGGGGUAGGCCUUCCCCCAGAUUUAGUAGGGCUUUUAUUACUUUGUGAAUAGCUGAUUGCAAUUAUUCUUUUAGAAUAAAGUAAAUAUAUAUUUGAUUAAAAUAUGUAAAACUAAAUAAAAAAACUAGUAAACUUAUAAUAUUUAUAAAAUAAAAAAGUAAAUUACAACUUCCGUUAUAUAUAAAAAUUACUUUAAGGGAUUCGAUACCAAUGAUAUUAAAUUACUUGGUCCCAAUGGACAAAUUAACAUCUUCACUGUACUUUUUAAGAAUACCAUUUUCGCAAUACAACCCUGGGUGCAAAUAUAAUCUUUUGAAUCCUAUAUUAACAAUUUCUGAUGUCUGCAUUGUACAUUUUUCUGAUAUCCUCAAUCUGAAACCUUCGUCUACCAUUAACAUUAUAUCGUUUAUAGAGUGGUUGUGAGCAUAGUUCAUAAUGUUCUUACAUAAUAGCUCUAUGUACCAGGUACCUCUAUUGUAAUCUCUGUGGGAUUGGUAUCCUGAAAUUUAUAAAAAAUGGUAAGUAUCUCGCCUUUUUUUAAAAUUUUUGUUGAAAAAAUUGGUAUGAUGGAUUUAAACACGAUUCAAAAUAUUGGACUGAAAAUUAUAUUUCUGGACUUUAUAGGACAAAAUCUUCAUCCACUGUGAGGGAGCUACUAGGAAAGAUACAUGUCAGUUUAGUAGGGUAGUUCCAACAACUCACCAUACAAUUUUUGCAAGUAAAACGUUAGAUAAGCAGAAAAAGUGUAACAUCGAAAUGUAACAGAUGAAUAUAGACUUUUAGGAAAGUCUAAAACCUCACAAUUUAGUGUUUCCUUAAGUUAAUUAUGCCUAAUCGGUUUAUUAAUGUAAGAAGUAAGGGGAAAAACUUUCAAAACUUGAUUCUCAUAGAAAAAUUACAAUCAGCUGUUUACAAAGUGAUAAAAGUCCUUCUAAACCACGGGAGAUCUAAAACUUCAUAAUUACACAUUCUCUUUUGUGAAUUGUGGUCAAUAGGUUUAUUGCACUUGAUAGAUUAAAAAAAAUCUGGUGGAAAUCUUUCACAACUCUAUUAUUGCAGAAAAAUUGGAAUCGGCUGGUUACAAAGUGAUGGAAGUCCAACUAAACCUGGGGGAAAGACCUCAAAAUUACACGUUUUCUUUCAUGAAUUAUGGCCAAUAGAUUUAUUACAAGGACAGUGUGAAAAAAAGUGGAAAACUUUCCAAAUUUAAAUUUAGUAGAAAAAUUAUAAUUAAUUGUUUACAAAUUGAUAUAAGUGUAACUAAACCUAGAAGAAGACACCUCCAAAGAAAUGGAAAAGUUAUCGAACCUAAAAACAGUGAGAAUUAAGAGCGUUUUAGUACUUUGUACAACUAAUUGUUACAUUUGCCAAGCAACAAUUAAGUUUUUCUUCACAAAUUAGUUCCACAAUUACCUAAAAUCCAUUUACCAUCAUGUUUUGAUUAAAUUUUAUAUAUAAAACCCUACCAUGCUAUAAGUAAUAAAUUUUUUUCAAAAACUGAUAUAUUUAGCUAAAAUUUGCGAUUUUAUUUUUCUAUUACCAAUCAAUCUUAAGUCAUACAAAAAUUUAAAAAAGUUGCUUUAGCUUCAAAGAGUCAGUUUUCUUAUCAAUAUCUUAACUAAAUAUGAUUAUACCUAGUAAUGUAGAAAAUCCAAUCAACAUGUCUUCAUCCGAUCUUAAAUUUAUUAGAGGUGGUAUACUUGUAACUUGUGAAUGAUUCAAAGCACCAUCAAUUUCUGUUAUUUGUUUGUGUUUUAUGGGUAUAUGUCGUUCAGCACCCCUAAAAAUGUCAUAUUUACAUUAACAAAAAAAAAUUUGGAAAAAAAGAUUUAGACCAAAAAGACAAAACAAUAAUAAAUAAUGAGAAAAUUAGAUAUAGACAAAAAAAGCAGAAAUAGACACAUAAAGACAGCUGAUAUAAUGAUAAAGUAAGGUGAAAUUUGGGCUGUAAUUUCAAAAGUUGUCCCCCUCUUAAGCAAAGAUUUCGAGUUUUUCUCAAUAAAAUAUACCUACAAAUACAUUUGGGAUCGGUCAAUUUUCUGUAUAAAUGUAAAGGAUGAAAAUGAAAUUAUUUACCUGCAAACUGAAAAUAACAAAAUUUUCGGUUUUCCCCUCCAGUAUAAGCAGUUUUCAUUAGAAAACCAUUUCCGCAUACUAGAUUCGGAAAUAUAAUUGUCUUGUAUAUUAGCAUCAAUUCCAUAAAUAACUGUAUCAUUACAUCUCUCUCCACCAUGACUCAUAAUUAUAAUGAAGCAAAUGUCAUACAAAUAGUUAUUUUUAUAAUUUGCAAAAUUUUUAAUAAUCAUAUUCAUUUGCUAAAACAUAUUUCAAAACCUAAUUAUUAUCAAAUAAAUAAAAAAAAAAUAAUUUCAAGCUAAAAUGUUAGUUUUGUCCUUAUAACCUUCUAUAUAGUAGAUACCCGGUUUGAAGGACCAGAUAAUGUAAUUUUUUGUUACUGUAGUGGUUAUUUCCAUAAAAUCCAACUUAUUUGAAAAUAUAAUUUAAUACUUA
Diorhabda sublineata is the source of this 3601-nucleotide long non-coding RNA. RefSeq lists it as uncharacterized. The record is from RefSeq and is a predicted model, not a curated record. Lineage: Eukaryota; Metazoa; Arthropoda; Insecta; Coleoptera; Chrysomelidae. The transcript has 2 exons.